CAGUAGCCGCGGUAAUGCGUAGGUGGCAAGCGUUGUCCGGAAUUAUUGGGCGUAAAGGGCUCGCAGGCGGUUUCUUAAGUCUGAUGUGAAAGCCCCCGGCCCAACCGGGGAGGGUCAUUGGAAACUGGAAAACUUGAGUGCAGAAGAGGAGAGUGGAAUUCCACGUGUAGCGGUGAAAUGCGUAGAGAUGUGGAGGAACACCAGUGGCGAAGGCGACUCUCUGGUCUGUAACUGACGCUGAGGAGCGAAAGCGUGGGGAGCGAACAGGAUUAGAUACCCCAGUAGUCCCUGUCUCUUAUAC
This 301-nucleotide ribosomal RNA is filed under the name uncultured bacterium. Its description in RNAcentral is "partial 16S ribosomal RNA". It matches the Rfam family "Bacterial small subunit ribosomal RNA", at positions 509 to 807 of the family's 1533-position model. The record is from RNAcentral.